AAACCUUGACGAUAAGAAUAUUCACAGAGCUACCUGUGUUGAUCAAGAUCAUCUUUACUUGAAAUGAGAAGAUGGUGGCAAAAACCAUGAGAAGACCGUCUCCUUUAACAUCAAAGACGUCCCUUUCAUCAAAUUCCGAAAACUAAAACUGUCAUGGAGAAGUCCUGGGCUUUUUCACUGGGGCGGCCCCUAACAUUACACUCCUAAGGUUGUGAUGACUAAACGAGUGUUUUGAUGGUUGGAAGAGAAAGUUGUGGCAGCAGGCCACAAUGAGUGAAGGUAACCAAACUUACUUCGAAGUUGCAACUUGAAUUUUGGAGGUUGUGACGACUAGACGAGUGUUUUGAUGGUUGGAAGAGAAAGUUGUGGCAGCAGGCCACAGUGAGUGAAGGUAGUAAGCUGCCCACACAAAAGUCGUGGCUCCAGAAUAUGACAUCAGCUCAAAUAAGAACAGCCUCUCUUUUUUUUUUUUUGUUAUCAAGGAUUUUAUUACUCUGUGUGAUGCUUUGGAUGGUUGUAUUUUACAUAAAUUGAUGUUUUAUCUAUGAAAAAUGCAUGGAUAUUAUGUAUAUUUACUUUAUUAUGUGUAUAUAUACAACUUUAUAUGCAAUGUCAAA
Molecule: long non-coding RNA, 617 nt
Organism: Gossypium arboreum
Lineage: Eukaryota; Viridiplantae; Streptophyta; Magnoliopsida; Malvales; Malvaceae
Exons: 2
Source: RefSeq, a predicted model, not a curated record